GUGUUCACAUUGGCAGCACGUACACUAAAAUUGGAACAAUACGGUGAAGAUUAUCCUGUUCCCUGUACAAGGAUGACACACAAAUUCACGAAGCAUUCCAUAUUUAA
Small nuclear RNA from Castor canadensis (American beaver), 107 nucleotides. The record is from Ensembl. NCBI's taxonomy places the organism in Eukaryota, Metazoa, Chordata, Mammalia, Rodentia, Castoridae.